This is a long non-coding RNA of Herpailurus yagouaroundi (jaguarundi), 3079 nucleotides long. RefSeq lists it as uncharacterized. Lineage: Eukaryota; Metazoa; Chordata; Mammalia; Carnivora; Felidae. The record is from RefSeq and is a predicted model, not a curated record. The transcript has 3 exons.
UCGGAUUCUGUGUCUCCCUCUCUCUGCCCCUCUCUGCUCAUGCUCUGUCUCUCUCACUCUCAAAAAUGAAUAAAUGUUUAAAAAAAGAAAAGUGGCUCUGAUCAUGCCACCUGCUGCUGAGACUCUCCUAGAGGUCCCCCUUGCAUGGGGUGAUGUCCAGUCUCCUAGUGCAGGUGGCACGCAGGCCAUCAGCCAGCCCCCUCUUAUCUCAGCCCUGGCCACUCACCACCACCUGCCUCAGCUGCCCCAUGUGCCCAUCCCCAUUCCUGCACCUGGCUGACUCCUCAUCUUUGUACCCUCGGGGUACCAUCGCCCCUGCUGCUGUGCUCAUGUGAAGUCUACACCUCGCCUCGGUCAUCUCCCAUUGCCCUGCCUGGCCUCUCAUGGCACAGAAGAGUCAUGUCAACACAUGUUUGUCAAGUGAAUAAAAAUUUGGGGUGAGGGGAGCCAUGGUGUGCUGGACCCCCGGGAGGCACGGCCUGGGAGGAAGGCACAGCACCCAGUGUCAGUGAGUGGUUACAAUGGAAUCACCUGGGCUUCGUGUGCACAUCUGUGUUUGUCAUAUCCAAGUGUUGUGGAAAAUCACGUUCCCCACCCGAGAGGUGGGAAAUGCAGAGGUCUCAUGACUCAUCAGAUCCUGGGUGGUGUUUGGGGACAGCAGUGAGACCCUGAGAAGCUGGCCCUGCAUGUGCUGAGGAGGGAGCCUGGGUGGGGCUGACCCUCCAGGUGACUGUCCACUCCUGAAGUGGGAGAUGGGUGGUGGGCACAGCAGGGUCACUGGGAGCUCCCCGGAGGCUGACAGACCUGGGAUGGACCACCUUGUGUGGAGGACUCAGGGGCCCCUCUCUGUGCCUGGUGUCCUCAUCCAUAACGUGGAGCCAGUCCCCACACUCCUGACUUGUCAGGGUUAAGGGAGAUAGGAAUGCAAAGCAGAAGCCAUUGGCAGCCAGCCGCUGUGGCCCCUGAGGACCCGGGUGGGAUGGGUCCUACCUGAACAGGUGGUGCCAGGGGCUUGCUGCUGGGCAUCUCCUACCCCGCCGUCCCUCCCGCCGUGUCUGCUCUCCCCUCUCAUCCAGCUCCUGUCCACCGGGCCACCGUGUACCCGACAGACCAGAGCCCACAGGUUUGGGGCGCCUGGGCUCCUCCACUCCAGGCCGGCACCUUCUCUUCCUGUUGCCCUGGAGGGCGGAGUUGAUUUGACUCCAUGAGGUGUACCCAGUGAGGGUGUUUGCUUCACAGGAGCUCCUUCCCCAGGAACAGCCACCCUGGCCCCGGGGCCUGUGGGAAGGUCCCCCCCCCCCCCGCCCCCGCCAGUGCGGCGGGUCCACCGGAGCCUGAUGUGAACUUGACUUGGCACUCAGGAUGGUGUACGUGGCCCGAGGGUAUGGUGGUCACCACGACAGGAAGGGGAGCUGGACCAAAGUGUCACCAACAUAGCAAUAUAAUAUUUGGGGGAAAGAGAGGUCACACGUUUCCACUGAGAGUUGUGUUUUAUUUCCGUUUAAGAAAUUCUUGCUUCCCAUUUGCAGCUACCCUGAACUCUGAAAACAGGCCCGGUGUGUGUGAGGGAAAGGGAAGUGAGAGCACCGGAAGAAGGGGCUUCUAGGGGUGGGGGAAGCAGGCCAUUUGGAGGGACUGUCCCUGAAGAGAGAGCAAAGGACUUGUGUGGGGAUGUGGGAGAACAUACCCCACAAGGAGGAGCCGUACUUGGGCCCCUCUGCAGGACCGAUCGCGUGUUGACCCUCCAGGUCCCGGUCACUCCCCAAAUGGCUCUGAGCCCGUGCCAAGCCAGGAGACCCUGUGGGGCGGUAAUGAGAAGCCCUAGGGACAUCUGAGCUGCCCUGCGUGCCAGGCUAGGCGGAGUGCUUUCUCUGAGCCAAUUUAGUUAAUCCUCACAACAAUUGGCACGUGGUUUGGAUCGCCUCCCUUCCCCGAUUCUGGCUGCCCUUACAAGAAAAUCCAGACUCCUCCCCAUGCAUGAUCCGGCCCCUGGAUGUCUCUGUGCUCUUCCCCUUGCUUGCUGUGCCCUGGCCAUACUGGAUGCCCUUCUCUUCCUGGAGCACACCAGCCUGGUCCUGCCUCAGGGCCUUUGCUCUCCACAUUGUGCAUGGUGACCUUUCCUCUGCCCUCCCGGCUGCUUCCUUCUCAUCACCUCAGCUCAAAUUGGGAGAGGUCCACCCCGGGCACCCUAAUAAAGUAGCUGUCACCCUCCAGACGUGCUGUGUCCCCAGUGUCUGAGAUGACCACUGUCUGCAUUUCUUGUGAGUCUAAAAGGAUGAUGAGUGGAAUUUUUUCUGUUUUCCCGGAAUUGCAGACUAGGCCCGGAACCGAGGACAGGACACACAAAAUACUUGCCUCCAUUCCAAGUUCAGGGAGCUGCAGGCAGCUGGGGUCAGCCUCCUCCCACAGGGCUGAUGGAGAGGUGUCCCCUCAGAAAGCCAGCCCCGCCCCCACCUCAUUCCCCUGCCGAGAAUGGUGGGGGGGGUGGCCUUUAGGCGAGUGCAGUGUUACUGGUGAAAAAGCAUGCCUCCCUCCCCAUCUGGAGGCCCAAGGAAGGCGGGGUUCCAGGGCACCUGCUGGCCAUCCCCUCCCCCUCCCCGGGCUGCCAGAGCACAGACGGAUGAGGGGAAGUGAGUGGGGGUGUGUCUGUCUGCACGGUGCCCUCACACCCCAGCCAGUGAGCCCUGAGGGUGAGCAGCAGGGGCUGCACGAGGUGGGUCGUAUCCCUCGGCUCCGGCUCCGUGUCUCGCACUGGCACCCGCCGCCGUUUGGGGAAGAGGGAUGGCUUGUGUGAGGUUCCUGCAAACAAGCGCCAAAGCUGGACUUGGAAGGCAGGCCUGACUGACCGAAAACCGGAUGGUCUCUGCGUUAGCUCCUGCCUCCCUUCUCUGCCCCUGACCGCCGGCAGCAAGCCUGGCUGUGAAUGAGUGUAUCUGUCAAUCUAAGGAAAGGGCUUUGCGCGAUAUGCACUAAAAUAUGAAUGUUACAGAUGCAGGAGAAACUGGAAUGAUCUGGCCAUCUACUGAAACUUGCUGAAGCAAACCGUUAUGACGUCUCUGGACCCUGUACUGUCCCAGGC